This 682-nucleotide ribosomal RNA is filed under the name uncultured Methanosaeta sp. RNAcentral describes it as "bacterial SSU rRNA". It matches the Rfam family "Archaeal small subunit ribosomal RNA", at positions 87 to 770 of the family's 1478-position model. Lineage: Archaea; Methanobacteriati; Methanobacteriota; Methanomicrobia; Methanotrichales; Methanotrichaceae. The record is from RNAcentral.
GGCUCAGUAACACGUGGAUAACCUACCCUUGAGACGGGGAUAAACCCGGGAAACUGGGUAUAAUACCCGAUAGAUCUCGACUGCUGGAAUGCAUCGAGCUUGAAAGCUCCGGCGCUCAAGGAUGGGUCUGCGGCCUAUCAGGUAGUAGUGGGUGUAGCGUACCUACUAGCCUACGACGGGUACGGGUUGUGAGAGCAAGAGCCCGGAGAAGGAUUCUGAGACACGAAUCCAGGCCCUACGGGGUGCAGCAGGCGCGAAAACUUUACAAUGCUGGAAACAGCGAUAAGGGGACCUCGAGUGCCAGGUUACAAAUCUGGCUGUCGUGAUGCCUAAAAAGCAUUGCAUAGCAAGGGCCGGGCAAGACCGGUGCCAGCCGCCGCGGUAACACCGGCGGCUCGAGUGGUAACCGUUAUUAUUGGGUCUAAAGGGUCUGUAGCCGGCCGGAUAAGUCUCUUGGGAAAUCUGGCAGCUUAACUGUCAGGCUUUCAGGAGAUACUGUCUGGCUCGAGGCCGGGAGAGGUGAGAGGUACUUCAGGGGUAGGGGUGAAAUCUUGUAAUCCUUGAAGGACCACCAGUGGCGAAGGCGUCUCACCAGAACGGACCUGACGGCAAGGGACGAAAGCUAGGGGCACGAACCGGAUUAGAUACCCGGGUAGUCCUAGCCGUAAACGAUACUCGCUAG